UACGAAGGGGGCUAGCGUUGCUCGGAAUCACUGGGCGUAAAGGGUGCGUAGGCGGGUCUUUAAGUCAGGGGUGAAAUCCUGGAGCUCAACUCCAGAACUGCCUUUGAUACUGGCGAUCUCGAGUCCGGGAGAGGUGAGUGGAACUGCGAGUGUAGAUGUGAAAUUCGUAGAUAUUCGCAAGAACACCAGUGGCGAAGGCGGCUCACUGGCCCGGUACUGACGCUGAGGUGCGAAAGCGUGGGGAGCAAACAGG
Molecule: ribosomal RNA, 253 nt
Filed under: uncultured bacterium
Lineage: Bacteria
Description: partial 16S ribosomal RNA
Rfam family: Bacterial small subunit ribosomal RNA
Source: RNAcentral